RNAcentral lists this ribosomal RNA (253 nucleotides) under uncultured bacterium. RNAcentral describes it as "partial 16S ribosomal RNA". It matches the Rfam family "Bacterial small subunit ribosomal RNA", at positions 524 to 776 of the family's 1533-position model. The record is from RNAcentral.
UACGUAGGGAGCAAGCGUUGUCCGGAAUCAUUGGGCGUAAAGCGCGCGUAGGUGGCCUCGUAAGUCCGCUGUGAAAGUCAAAGGCUCAACCUUUGAAAGCCGGUGGAUACUGUGAGGCUAGAGUACGGAAGAGGCGAGUGGAAUUCCUGGUGUAGCGGUGAAAUGCGCAGAUAUCAGGAAGAACACCUAUGGCGAAGGCAGCACUCUGGGACGGUACUGACGCUGAGACGCGAAAGCGUGGGGAGCGAACAGG